Long non-coding RNA from Panicum virgatum (switchgrass), 869 nucleotides. RefSeq lists it as uncharacterized. The transcript is spliced from 3 exons. NCBI's taxonomy places the organism in Eukaryota, Viridiplantae, Streptophyta, Magnoliopsida, Poales, Poaceae. The record is from RefSeq and is a predicted model, not a curated record.
CGUGCCAUGGAUCUAUCGAGAGCGGAAGCAGAGUUCCGAUGGGGGGUGGAACAGAGAGGAGGUUCAUAUGAGCGUGGAGGGGGUAGUGGUUCGACGAGGGGGAAUGUUAUGCAAAGGAUGUUUCGAAGGACCACUUCGCAGAGGGUGAGUCCUGUGGUGGAGGACUAUAACUUGGCAGCUGGUGGGAGAAGAGGAAUGACGCAACCAAGGAUUGAUACAUGCUCCUGGACGCAGAAGGGUAAGAAUACAAAGGAAGCUAUUGGUAAAGCUUGGUCAAAGUUUUUCCAUAUUGCAGGAGUACCUGGAAGACAGGCUGACAGUCCGUACUUUGUCAGCGCAGUCAGGGAGACACAGAAGUGGGGUGAAGGUAUCGCAUCACCCACUGGACGGGAUAUUGAUGGCAAGUACCUUGAUCAGAACAAGCAAGACUUGAAGACGAGGUACGUAAAGUUUUAGAAAGACUGGCCUUUAUUUGGCGUCACGUUGAUGUGUGAUUCAUGGACUGGCCUGACGAGAAUGAGUGACAUCAACUUUUUGAUAUAUUGCAAUGGGGUCAUGUGGUUCCAUAAAUCUAUUGAUGCGAGGGGAAGAACUCAAGAUGCUGCAUAUUUGUUCAAGGAGAUUCGAAAGGUGGUGGAAGAGAUUGGACCGGAGAAUGUCGUGCACGUAGUCACCGACAACGGCUCGAACUACAAGAAAGCAUGCAAGGAACUACUAAUUGAGGUGUAUGAACACAUAGCUUGGACACCUUGUCUAGCACACACCAUCAAUUUGAUGUUGAAGGAUAUAGCUCGAAGGCCUGAACAUGGUGUUAUGAUCAAGCAGUGCAAGCGAAUUUCAAAUUGGUUACACAAUCAUGGUCAGUUGAA